This 696-nucleotide long non-coding RNA is filed under the name Musa acuminata (dwarf banana). RNAcentral's name for it is "long non-coding RNA (MACU_LNC000197)". The record is from RNAcentral. Lineage: Eukaryota; Viridiplantae; Streptophyta; Magnoliopsida; Zingiberales; Musaceae.
GAUGAUCCAACAAGUCAAUCCAAUAAUGCAAUCCCAAUGGUUUUAGGAUGAACACAAAGACCAUGACCAAGUCGACCGGGAAGCGUGUUGCCAAGCAAGUAGAUACAGUAGCUACUGGAUGGUGGAGCAGGUUCUUCCAUUGCUUCUCUGUUCAACCAUGAAUCUGCUGAUGGAGGAGAGCUGUGCCUGCAAGCAGAUUCAUGGAGAAAGAUGAUGCAUCAGUGAGCAAGACCAACUACAGACAGUAUAAAUAAAGUAAUCAACUCGGUUGUUUCAUUUCUCUUCUCCGAUCUGAGCACAGAAAAAUGCUUUGGAAAGUACAACUCGAAGUAACGAGUUCUCGAAGUAAAGGCAGUCAAUGAUGACAGCUUUGCUCUUGGCGAGUAGCUCCUGGGAUCAUAAAGCUGGGUAUCAUCUUGUGUUGAACAGUCUUCACACUUCCAACACAAAAGCAUGCGACGAGGAUGAGCAGCUACAAAUGAAGUGCUUGGAGGUUACUUUACUUGUGUAGUUCUUCGAUUUCAAUGCAGAUGGUUUAGGCAUUUGCUAGGAUAAUGUUUGUUUGUCUACUCUCAAAGAGUCUCUCAUCUAUCAAGCAUGAUUAGAGGUGUAGCUUCUUGAUUCAGAAAAACCUGCCUAUUGUUCUGACUUUAUCUCCUUACUUCUGACUCGUCCUGUGUUAUUUAAAAAGAGAAG